This 497-nucleotide ribosomal RNA is filed under the name uncultured bacterium. RNAcentral's name for it is "partial 16S ribosomal RNA". It matches the Rfam family "Bacterial small subunit ribosomal RNA", at positions 28 to 507 of the family's 1533-position model. The record is from RNAcentral.
GAUGAACGCUGGCGGCGUGCCUAAUACAUGCAAGUCGAGCGAACAGACGAGGAGCUUGCUCCUCUGAUGUUAGCGGCGGACGGGUGAGUAACACGUGGAUAACCUACCUAUAAGACUGGGAUAACUUCGGGAAACCGGAGCUAAUACCGGAUAACAUGUUGAACCGCAUGGUUCAACAGUGAAAGACGGUCUUGCUGUCACUUAUAGAUGGAUCCGCGCCGCAUUAGCUAGUUGGUAAGGUAACGGCUUACCAAGGCAACGAUGCGUAGCCGACCUGAGAGGGUGAUCGCCCACACUGGAACUGAGACACGGUCCAGACUCCUACGGGAGGCAGCAGUAGGGAAUCUUCCGCAAUGGGCGAAAGCCUGACGGAGCAACGCCGCGUGAGUGAAGAAGGUCUUCGGAUCGUAAAACUCUGUUAUUAGGGAAGAACAAAUGUGUAAGUAACUAUGCACGUCUUGACGGUACCUAAUCAGAAAGCCACGGCUAACUACGUG